AAGGCUUCAGUACGACCCUGUCAGAACUAUAAGUCUCAAAGCCCCGACGAGUAGGGUGGCGUGCCGGUGAGCGUUGAAGGCCAAGACGUGAGUCAGGCUGGAGCCGCCGGUAGUGCAGAUCUUGGUGGUAGUAGCAAGUACUCUGGUGAACCAACCUGGAGCUGUGAGGUCUGGAUCAGGGUUCCAUGUCAACAGUGAUUGAACAUGGGUGAGUCGAUCCUAAGCCAAUUGUGAAAGCAGUGACAUCCCGACAAAGGGGCUGUUCGUGUGUUUGGAUCGGCCCACGCGGAGGACGUUUGUGUGCACGAAGCGCCAUUUCGCGAGUAAUCUCUCCGCUCUCUCGACUCGCGCGCGCAUGCGUGUGUGGGUCUCUCUGUUAUUAAGCUCGACUAGCUUUAUACACGGUGGGGGAGAGUGACGAGAAAGAAAGCGGGUUAAAGUGCCCGCGUUCCCCGUGUGUGUUUGAGUCGUGAAAACACACCCCUAAGCUUCCUGCGUCUGGUUCUAUGUCUGGCGAAAGGGAAUGGGGACUUUGUUCCUUGACCGGUCCCGGCCCCCUCGAUAGGCUUUAGCCAUUCAAUGGUCCAUGCAAAUGGAACCCGGCCACAGCCGCCGGCAAUCGCCCGAGGAAGAGUUUUCUUUUUUGCUUAACGCACGAGGUCAUCCCUGGAAACAGUUCGGCUGGCGAAAGGGUGCCCCGUUGCGGCAGAGCGCCACGACUGUCGUGCGCGUCUCGGUGUACCUGCCGGUCCGUGAAGACGUGGUCGAGGGGAUUGCUUCUUGUAUCAACGAAACGCCCGACAAGUUCGGGACGGACCGUACCCUAUAUCCGCAUCUGGUCUCCAAGGUUCGUAGCCUCUGCAGAGUCAGACACAUGUAGGUAAGGGAAGUCGGCAAACUCGAUCCGUAACUUCGGGAAAAGGAUUGGCUCUGAGGGCCGAGCUGGGCCGGGCCUUGCCUGCAAAGCAGUACCUAUAGUGACCGGAGUUUCAGGAGUGCGAGGGGCUCUAGUAGCUGCCUGUGUGUGUGCAUGCGCGUUCACGCGUGUGUGUGUGCGCGUGGGCACGAACGAGUCUACCGCUCCGCUCCAACCACGAACGGCUGUGACGGCAAGGGCUCUGGGCGGGAGCGUUCAAACCGUUUGCCCCCAGCUCGUCUGGGUGGCGGCGGUGCUCCGUCUGACCCAUACGGCUCCAGCGGCUAGCGGCUAACUCAGAACUGUCAUGGACCAAGGGAAUCCGACUGUCUAAUUAAAACAAAGCGUCGUGACGGCCCCUGUUGGGUGUUGACGCGACGUGAUUUC
Molecule: ribosomal RNA, 1303 nt
Filed under: Niphargus sp. 51 SB-2021
Lineage: Eukaryota; Metazoa; Arthropoda; Malacostraca; Amphipoda; Niphargidae
Description: partial 28S ribosomal RNA
Rfam family: Eukaryotic large subunit ribosomal RNA
Source: RNAcentral